This 2011-nucleotide long non-coding RNA is filed under the name Nicotiana tabacum (common tobacco). Its description in RNAcentral is "long non-coding RNA (NTAB_LNC016338)". Lineage: Eukaryota; Viridiplantae; Streptophyta; Magnoliopsida; Solanales; Solanaceae. The record is from RNAcentral.
CGAACGCGCUUGGCGUGAUUUGGCUAAAGGUAGAUGGGAGGCCAAGAACCAUGGUAAGGUUUUGCUUCUUGUUUCCUUCGAAGUAUUCCUUGUGUUCUAUUUAUUACUGAUUUUCUUUCAUGCAGGUGUAACCAAGGAUACGCUUUGAGGCCUUCGAGCGGUGAAGAAGAAACUAAGUCCCGGUUCCGUCAGAGAACCCCAAGACCAAAACUUGGAGGGUGAGGAGGAAGGAAGUUGCCCUUCCGAUUGACUUGGUCCAACGACUAAGAGAAGAAGAAGAAGAAGAAGAAGAAGAAGAAGAAGAAGAAGAAGAAGAAGAAGAUAACGCCUCGGCUUUGGUGAUCUGAUUUGCGAAAGCUAUCGAGAUUGCUAGAGCUCCUGAGCCAAUGGCGGCUGUACCGGUCGGGGUGGGUCCUGAAAUCCCGAGUCUUGAUCGGAACACCCCGAGUGAUUUGCUUGGGGCUAUGACAGUGGGUCAUUCGCCUUCUCUUCCAACUUUUCUGAGGAGGCGUUAAAGGAAGCUUGAGAAUUGAAGACCCCCGAUAUGGGCGGAGGCUCUAGUGUAGGGGACCCUUUUCGGGAUUGCUUCACUGGAGUCGAUGAUGCUUCCGAUAUUGGUGAUGCUUCUCUUCUGCUAGAGGAGGCCCAACGUUUCAUUACUCGGGUAAUGAUUUUUCUACACUUGGUUUCUUUAUUCUUUUCCAUACUUGACUUGUGUUUUUUCCCUAUUGUGUAGGCCAUGAGUAGGUUUCGAGUCGAUCUUAGUCAGUGUGAGGCCGAGCUUCAGAAGGUCUCGGGUGAGAGAGACGCCAUGCGGCUUCUUUGCAGCCAAAAGGACGAGGCUAUAAAGGACUUCCAAGCGGAUUUGGCUAAGGUUCGUGAAAAAGAGGCCGAAUUCGAUAAGCAGGUGAGCCUCGUUCUGUUAAAGUAUGGGUCUGACUCAACUGUGGAAGUUAACCCUUCGUUGUCUCAGCUACAGCAAAAGGUUGAAAAGAUCGGGUUACUUCGGGAAGAAGUUGAUCAAAUCAAAGCUGAAUGUAAUCGGUGGAACGAGACUAUCGACCGACUGGCUGCGGAAAAAGAAACCAUUUUGACCAAAUUACUAUCGGUCGAUGUUCAGCUUCGAAGCGUCAAGCAAAAGGGGUUGGCUCAAGCUAAGAGGAUCGAGGAGCUUGAAACAUGUCUUGCUGAGGCCAAAGCGGAGGUUGAGUCAUCGAAAGUCAUGGCGGAUAAGUCCAUUGCUGUGUAUCGGGCCGAUGCCGAGGCUGCUCAGAUGGAGGCACGGGAGGCGGCGGAUACUGCCGACGCUCGAGCUCAUUGGGUUGCCAAACUUGCUAAAUGUAGGUCUCGGAGGGAGACCCUCGAGGAGAUACACGCUCGAGGUUUCGACCUUACAGAAGAGAUAAAAAAGGCUAAAGAGCUCGAAGCUGAAGUUGAAGCCUUGGCUUCUGAUGAUGAUGAUGAUGGCGGUAGCAAGAGCGGAUCCGAGGACGGGGAAGAGCCCGACAGAGAAGCGAACGCCCCUGAGGAUGACCAGGAAGCUUAGUUCUUAAUUUUUUUACGUUUGUAAUCAAUCAUGUAGACAAUUUUGUAUAUAUACAACUUGGUCGACUUGUUUUUGUGAAGACUUUAAUCAAAUUUUGACUUCGUAGUCUCUAUGAUUGAUCGAUUGUUUUUUCAGACUUGAAGUGAUGUAGCCCUUAGGCUUGCUAGUUGAGUCAAUGAUUCGAACUUGAAGAAAUAUAGCUCGUAGGCGUGAUGGUUGAGUAAGUGUUCGCUCAAACUUAAAAUGAAAGCAGCUUAUAGGCUCAUUAGUCGUCAAGUGAAUGAUUCGAACUCGACGUAAUAUUGCCCGUAGGCGUAAUGGUCGAGUGAGUGCUUGCUCGAACUCGAAAUCAAAGUAGCCCGUAGGCUUCUUAGUCGAGUGAAUGUUUCGAACUCGAAGUAAUGUAGCCCGUAGGCGUAAUGAUCGAGUGAGUGCUUGCUCGAACUCGAAAUAAAAGUAGCCCGU